CCUACGGGAGGCAGCAGUGAGGAAUAUUGGUCAAUGGACGAGAGUCUGAACCAGCCAAGUAGCGUGAAGGAUGACUGCCCUAUUGGUUGUAAACUUCUUUUAUAAAGGAAUAAAACGAGGCACGUGUGCCUUUUUGCAUGUACUUUAUGAAUAAGGAUCGGCUAACUCCGUGCCAGCAGCCGCGGUAAUACGGAGGAUCCGAGCGUUAUCCGGAUUUAUUGGGUUUAAAGGGAGCGUAGAUGGGUUGUUAAGUCAGUUGUGAAAGUUUGCGGCUCAACCGUAAAAUUGCAAUUGAUACUGGCAGUCGUGAGUACAGUUGAGGUAGGCGGAAUUCGUGGUGUAGCGGUGAAAUGCUUAGAUAUCACGAAGAACCCCGAUUGCGAAGGCAGCUUACUAAACUGUGACUGACAUUGAUGCUCGAAAGUGUGGGUAUCAAACAGGAUUAGAUACCCCUGUAGUC
This 460-nucleotide ribosomal RNA is filed under the name uncultured bacterium. RNAcentral's name for it is "partial 16S ribosomal RNA". It matches the Rfam family "Bacterial small subunit ribosomal RNA", at positions 338 to 795 of the family's 1533-position model. The record is from RNAcentral.